UAUGGGGUGUAAAACGGAAACAUCUCGCAGAGAUCGAUGGUCUGGGACUAACUUCUCGUCGGCAUGAUAAGAAGGAAAUAAUUUGUUUGGCCUUUUGUGCCUUAUAAACUACAACAAAGCAAGAAGCCCGUCUUUAACUAAUUGAAAUUUCGCUUUGUUGCUUCCAGGACCUUAUUGGUGCCAUCAAGGUGACGUCCAGAAAGAUCGGUGCUCCAGUUUACGCCCUGCCAAGGGACCUGAAACUAAGUUAAGUACUUAUGUGUCUCUUAUACGGUGUAAACAUAUCGCAGAGAUGGGCUGAGACUAAAUUUUUGUCGGCAUGAUAGGAAGUAAAUCAGUUGUGAUGUUUCGUUAACUGAACUCUUGGUUGUAGGUAAGGUGCUUGAGUGUGUUCUGUUGACAUUCCGAGCGAUGUUGUCGGGAGGGGUUUACAUUAGGACAUUUUGUAAAUGGAGGCUCCUUUUGCAUUCAGGGCUUCAGUCCGUUUCUGGGGUGUACAGGCCUGGUGUGUGGCUGGUUUGGUUUCUGUGAUUGUGUCGAUCGCCGGGAUGGUAUUCUGUCAAUUAUUUCAAAUUCUGUUCUUUACAAAACAGGGUUUUCCCUGGUUCACCAUCUGUUGUCAUUUCUGUUUUAUGUCAUGGUCAGUGGUUGUCGGGGACCUAGACCAUUACAUAAUCUGCCUCGUGUUGUUGUCUUGGGUCCCGAACCAAGAGAACGUCACAGGCCAGAAAGGAGGACAGGUGGCUGAAGAACCUAUUUAAUAUUACUAGUUUAGUCGUUUAGAGAAAAAAAACUUCGGCGUCGACAUAGUCACAGAAACUGAAUCAGCUAUACACUGGGCUUGUAUAUCACAGAAGCAGACUGAAGCAAUGAGUGCAGAAGUAGCCAUUGCUCUCGAAAAUUCAAGCAAAACAAAGGCAGCAUUAUGCCAAAAGCAGCAUUACUUAGGAUUUCAUCAAAGCACACCCAACGCCCUGCCACCAAACAAGAGAUAAUGAUUCCUCUCGCUAUUUCUAUGUUAAAGCUAGAACCGAAAUUAUAAUGACAAAACAAGUGAACUUCCUGCCAUGCCAAUACACGUAGCUGAGCUUUCUUUUAGGUAUAGUGUUAGGUAUAGUCUGAGUUAAGGUUUAAUUUUUGUCUCGUCUUUUCUCCCGAGGAUCAUCGCACCGUAAGAAGAAAUGUCUGGACGCGGAAAAGGAGGCGAGGACUGGCGAAGGAAGGUGCCGAAUGUGAGCGAACGGGCUUCGCAGUCUUCUAUGACAAGAUUAGCUAGAAGUGUCUGGGCUUGGUAAGCGAGGAAAGGCACUAGAGGAAUGGAGGUUUCGAAGUGUCACCGUUACUGCAAGUGCUUCGUGACAACAUCCGGUGCAUCACCAAGCCAGGGCAUGACGGUCUUUCCCGACAUAGACAAGCAAUGUCUGGACGUUACCGGUACCGUGACCGAAGGCGCUUCACAACAUCCGGGGAGACGGUGGUCCUGGCGGAAGGCGUGUUAGUGUCUCCCCUCGUAGCUGGAUUUCAGAAGCAUCUUGAGAUGACAUUCCAUAA
Molecule: long non-coding RNA, 1551 nt
Organism: Branchiostoma floridae (Florida lancelet)
Lineage: Eukaryota; Metazoa; Chordata; Leptocardii; Amphioxiformes; Branchiostomatidae
Exons: 3
Source: RefSeq, a predicted model, not a curated record